AUCAUGGAGAGUUCGAUCCUGGCUCAGAACGAACGCUGGCGGCGCGUCUUAAGCAUGCAAGUCGAGCGGGAUUACGUAGCUUGCUACGUAUGAGAGCGGCGGACUGGUGAGUAACACGUAGAUAACGCACCCUUCGGACAGGGAUAGCCUGUAGAAAUAUAGGAUAAUACCGGAUGCGAAGUACAGGGGAAGGGCCUGUACUGGAAAGGAGCUUCGGCUCCGCCGGAGGAACGGUCUGCGGCCCAUCAGCUUGUAGGCGGGGUAAAGGCCCACCUAGGCAAUGACGGGUAUCCGGCCUGAGAGGGUGAUCGGACACAUUGGGACUGAGAUACGGCCCAG
RNAcentral lists this ribosomal RNA (339 nucleotides) under Treponema sp. RNAcentral's name for it is "bacterial SSU rRNA". It matches the Rfam family "Bacterial small subunit ribosomal RNA", at positions 1 to 334 of the family's 1533-position model. The record is from RNAcentral. Lineage: Bacteria; Pseudomonadati; Spirochaetota; Spirochaetia; Treponematales; Treponemataceae.